CGGCAAUGGAGGAAACUCUGACCGAGCAACGCCGCGUGAACGAUGAAGUAUUUCGGUACGUAAAGUUCUUUUAUUAGGGAAGAAUAAAUGAUGGAGAAAUCAUUCUGACGGUACCUAAUGAAUAAGCCCCGGCUAACUAUGUGCCAGCAGCCGCGGUAAUACAUAGGGGGCAAGCGUUAUCCGGAAUUAUUGGGCGUAAAGGGUGCGUAGGCGGUUAAAUAAGUUUAUGGUCUAAGUGCAAUGCUUAACAUUGUGAUGCUAUAAAAACUGUUUAGCUAGAGUAAGAUAGAGGCAAGUGGAAUUCCAUGUGUAGUGGUAAAAUGCGUAAAUAUAUGGAGGAACACCAGUAGCGAAGGCGGCUUGCUGGGUCUUUACUGACGCUGAGGCACGAAAGCGUGGGGAGCAAACAGGAUUAGAUACCCUGGUAGUCCACGCCGUAAACGAUGAGUACUAAACGUUGGGUAAAACCAGUGUUGAAGUUAACACAUUAAGUACUCCGCCUGAGUAGUACGUACGCAAGUAUGAAACUUAAAGGAAUUGACGGGACUCCGCACAAGCGGUGGAUCAUGUUGUUUAAUUCGAAGGUACCCGAAAAACCUCACCAGGUCUUGACAUGCUUCUGCAAAGCUGUAGAAACACAGUGGAGGUUAUCAGUUGCACAGGUGGUGCAUGGUUGUCGUCAGCUCGUGUCGUGAGAUGUUGGGUUAAGUCCCGCAACGAGCGCAACCCUUAUUGUUAGUUACCAGCACGUAAUGGUGGGGACUUUAGCAAGACUGCCAGUGAUAAAUUGGAGGAAGGUGGGGACGACGUCAAAUCAUCAUGCCCCUUAUGACCUGGGCUACAAACGUGAUACAAUGGCUGUUACAAAGAGUAGCUGAA
This 879-nucleotide ribosomal RNA is filed under the name Chinese Huanglongbing disease-associated phytoplasma. Its description in RNAcentral is "bacterial SSU rRNA". It matches the Rfam family "Bacterial small subunit ribosomal RNA", at positions 366 to 1254 of the family's 1533-position model. The record is from RNAcentral. Lineage: Bacteria; Bacillati; Mycoplasmatota; Mollicutes; Acholeplasmatales; Acholeplasmataceae.